GACGAACGCUGGCGGCGUGCCCAACACAUGCAAGUUGAGCGACGAACCAGGGCUUGCCCUGGGGCAAAGCAGCGAACGGGUGAGUAACACGUGGGUAACCUACCCCGAUAACCGGGACAACCCGAGGAAACUCGGGCUAAUACCGGAUGUGCUCACUGGACUUCGGUUCAGUGCGUAAAGGAAGCUUCGGCCUCCGUAUCGGGAGGGGCCCGCGGCCCAUUAGUUUGUUGGUGAGGUAACGGCUCACCAAGACCGCGAUGGGUAGCUGGUCUGAGAGGGCGAUCAGCCACACUGGGACUGAGACACGGCCCAGACUCCUACGGGAGGCAGCAGUGGGGAAUCUUGCGCAAUGCGCGAAAGCGUGACGCAGCAACGCCGCGUGGGGGAAGAAGGCCUUCGGGUUGUAAACCCCUUUCAGGAGGGACGAAGGUUCGGCGGUGAAUAGCCGUCCGGACUGACGGUACCUCCACAAGAAGCCCCGGCUAACUACGUG
Molecule: ribosomal RNA, 493 nt
Filed under: uncultured bacterium
Lineage: Bacteria
Description: partial 16S ribosomal RNA
Rfam family: Bacterial small subunit ribosomal RNA
Source: RNAcentral